GGGAACGUACCCUUUGGUUCGGAAUAACGCUGGGAAACUAGCGCUAAUACCGGAUACGCCCUUUUGGGGAAAGGCUUGCUGCCGAAGGAUCGGCCCGCGUCUGAUUAGCUAGUUGGUGGGGUAAUGGCCUACCAAGGCGACGAUCAGUAGCUGGUCUGAGAGGAUGAUCAGCCACACUGGGACUGAGACACGGCCCAGACUCCUACGGGAGGCAGCAGUGGGGAAUAUUGGACAAUGGGCGCAAGCCUGAUCCAGCCAUGCCGCGUGAGUGAUGAAGGCCUUAGGGUUGUAAAGCUCUUUUGUCCGGGACGAUAAUGACGGUACCGGAAGAAUAAGCCCCGGCUAACUUCGUGCCAGCAGCCGCGGUAAUACGAAGGGGGCUAGCGUUGCUCGGAAUCACUGGGCGUAAAGGGCGCGUAGGCGGCCAUUCAAGUCGGGGGUGAAAGCCUGUGGCUCAACCACAGAAUUGCCUUCGAUACUGUUUGGCUUGAGUUUGGUAGAGGUUGGUGGAACUGCGAGU
This 520-nucleotide ribosomal RNA is filed under the name Methylobacterium sp. AMS50. RNAcentral's name for it is "bacterial SSU rRNA". It matches the Rfam family "Bacterial small subunit ribosomal RNA", at positions 120 to 674 of the family's 1533-position model. Lineage: Bacteria; Pseudomonadati; Pseudomonadota; Alphaproteobacteria; Hyphomicrobiales; Methylobacteriaceae. RNAcentral also lists the same sequence under 3 other names. The record is from RNAcentral.